Molecule: transfer RNA, 75 nt
Filed under: Candidatus Falkowiibacteriota bacterium
Lineage: Bacteria; Candidatus Falkowiibacteriota
Description: Candidatus Falkowbacteria bacterium tRNA-Glu
Rfam family: tRNA
About the family: Transfer RNA (tRNA) molecules are approximately 80 nucleotides in length. Their secondary structure includes four short double-helical elements and three loops (D, anti-codon, and T loops). Further hydrogen bonds mediate the characteristic L-shaped molecular structure. tRNAs have two regions of fundamental functional importance: the anti-codon, which is responsible for specific mRNA codon recognition, and the 3' end, to which the tRNAs corresponding amino acid is attached (by aminoacyl-tRNA synthetases). tRNAs cope with the degeneracy of the genetic code in two manners: having more than one tRNA (with a specific anti-codon) for a particular amino acid; and 'wobble' base-pairing, i.e. permitting non-standard base-pairing at the 3rd anti-codon position.
Source: RNAcentral
GGUCCCAUCGUCUAACGGUUAGGACGCCAGGUUCUCAUCCUGGUAAUAGGGGUUCGAUUCCCCUUGGGACUACCA